RNAcentral lists this long non-coding RNA (1436 nucleotides) under Homo sapiens (human). RNAcentral describes it as "HSALNT0310571". The record is from RNAcentral. Lineage: Eukaryota; Metazoa; Chordata; Mammalia; Primates; Hominidae.
AUGGCUUCAGCCAGUCCCUCCACUUGGGGUCCCUGACUUCCCGCAACAGUAAAUGAAUGCCAAACUACAUAUGAAAAUGAAAACGACCAAAACCGAAAGAGAUCUGGGUUCUCAUGUCAAUUCUAUUAUUUACAAGGCAUACUAUUCAAGUCCUAUAAAACUAACCCUAAAUGUUCUUAUCUGUAAAGGAGAUGGGGGUGGGGGAAAUAACAUCUGCCUACCACUCUUUUCAAGUAUGCUAUAAAGCACAAUAAACUAAUGUACAUGAAAAGUGUUAGAAAGUGAAAAUAGCUAUAAAUAUACAGAGCAUCAAGGAAGACUGAACAAAAUGCUAUUAGCCAUGAAUCACCCAUACCAUUUUAGGCCUCUGAAAUAAAAAGUAGUCAGAACAGUUUGAAACAUGGGAAAUAGCACCAGUACUUAACAGGGAUGGCAAAAGACUGAAGAAAUGCCCAGUCAUCUAUCGAAUUGCUAAGGAAGUCAGCCAGCUAAUCAAAGAUAUAUGGAGGCCUAUCACUCCACAAUUCCACAACAGUGAUUUAUCCAAAAGAUUUAAAAAAUCCAUCCAAGAAUGCUCAUAGCAGUUUUAUUCCUAACCACCAAAAACCAGAAAUGCAAAUGUCCAUCAACAGAAAAAUGGAUAAACAAACAGUAUAUCUGUACUAUUACUCAGCAAUGAAAAUGAACCAAUAAUGCAUGAAACAUGGAUAAAUCUCAAAAACGUUGAACAAAAGAAGUCGUGACACAAGAAUACAUAUUGUAUGAUUCCAUUUUUAUAAAGUUCUAGAAUACGGAAAUUAUGCUAAGAGAAAUCAGAACAGUGGUUGCCUCUGGGGACAGGGAAGACUGAAAACGGACAUGAGGGAACUUGCUGGGAGAAUUGUUUUCUUCCUUGCUCCUAAAUCACAGAGGAGAUAGUCCAUAACCAGUGAGCUGGGCCAGAAGCUAAGUACUUUUAUCCCUCUUCCCAAACUGGAAAUAAUGCUUUUCUUUGGCUACCUAACAGUGCAGUGGCAAAAGGUUCAGAUUCGGUUUUCAGGCUCAGAGUAGAAUGAGCAAAAACCAAUGACAUUUCCACUUUUCCAACUAUAAUGCUGAAAAAAAUAGCUGCUGCACUGUAUCUUUUAAGAGUGUUGUGGAUACCAGCUAUUGUGGGUUUGUUCAACUCCCAACCCCUGGCAACUCAGAAUAUGACUUUAACUGGAGAUAGACUCUUUACAGAGGUGCCACGCCAAAAAUUAUACCUCUCAUCCACAAAUCUUAGAGUUGCAUCAUGUACAAAUACUUGGUUUCUGAAGAAUUCUGGACUGCAAGUUAAAGAAAAUGAGGAAGUUGAGGCUCAGAGAGCAAAUAAACUUCAAAAGAUCAUGGAGGUGCUAAGAGAGGUUACCAUACCAGAUAAAAUAAGAAGUUCAAUGAUUUCUGCAUCUCCAAGG